RNAcentral lists this ribosomal RNA (271 nucleotides) under uncultured bacterium. RNAcentral's name for it is "partial 16S ribosomal RNA". It matches the Rfam family "Bacterial small subunit ribosomal RNA", at positions 524 to 794 of the family's 1533-position model. The record is from RNAcentral.
UACAGAGGGUGCAAGCGUUAAUCGGAUUUACUGGGCGUAAAGCGUGCGUAGGUGGUUUUGUAAGUCGGAUGUGAAAGCCCCGGGCUCAACCUGGGAACUGCGUUCGAUACUGCGAGACUCGAGUUUGGUAGAGGGUGGCGGAAUUCCCGGUGUAGCGGUGAAAUGCGUAGAUAUCGGGAGGAACAUCAAUGGCGAAGGCAGCCACCUGGGCCUGAACUGACACUGAGGCACGAAAGCGUGGGUAGCAAACAGGAUUAGAUACCCUGGUAGU